CCUACGGGAGGCAGCAGUGGGGAAUAUUGGGCAAUGGGCGCAAGCCUGACCCAGCAACGCCGCGUGAAGGAAGAAGGCUUUCGGGUUGUAAACUUCUUUUGUCAGGGAAGAGAAGAAGACGGUACCUGACGAAUAAGCCACGGCUAACUACGUGCCAGCAGCCGCGGUAAUACGUAGGUGGCAAGCGUUGUACGGAUUUACGGGGUGUAAAGGGCGUGUAGACGGGUUGACAAGUCAGAUGUGAAAUCCUGCGGCUUAACCGCAGAACUGCAUUUGAAACUGUUGAUCUUGAGUACUGGAGAGGCAGGCGGAAUUCCUGGUGUAGCGGUGAAAUGCGUAGAUAUUAGGAGGAACACCAGUGGCGAAGGCGGUCUGCUGGACCGCAACUGACGGUGAGGCGCGAAAGCGUGGGGAGCAAACAGGAUUAGAUACCCCAGUAGUC
Molecule: ribosomal RNA, 442 nt
Filed under: uncultured bacterium
Lineage: Bacteria
Description: partial 16S ribosomal RNA
Rfam family: Bacterial small subunit ribosomal RNA
Source: RNAcentral